This 712-nucleotide ribosomal RNA is filed under the name uncultured bacterium. RNAcentral's name for it is "bacterial SSU rRNA". It matches the Rfam family "Bacterial small subunit ribosomal RNA", at positions 789 to 1501 of the family's 1533-position model. The record is from RNAcentral.
GGUAGUCCACGCCGUAAACGAUGUCGACUUGGAGGUUGUUCCCUUGAGGAGUGGCUUCCGGAGCUAACGCGUUAAGUCGACCGCCUGGGGAGUACGGCCGCAAGGUUAAAACUCAAAUGAAUUGACGGGGGCCCGCACAAGCGGUGGAGCAUGUGGUUUAAUUCGAUGCAACGCGAAGAACCUUACCUACUCUUGACAUCCAGAGAACUUAGCAGAGAUGCUUUGGUGCCUUCGGGAACUCUGAGACAGGUGCUGCAUGGCUGUCGUCAGCUCGUGUUGUGAAAUGUUGGGUUAAGUCCCGCAACGAGCGCAACCCUUAUCCUUUGUUGCCAGCGAUUCGGUCGGGAACUCAAAGGAGACUGCCGGUGAUAAACCGGAGGAAGGUGGGGAUGACGUCAAGUCAUCAUGGCCCUUACGAGUAGGGCUACACACGUGCUACAAUGGCGCAUACAAAGAGAAGCGACCUCGCGAGAGCAAGCGGACCUCACAAAGUGCGUCGUAGUCCGGAUCGGAGUCUGCAACUCGACUCCGUGAAGUCGGAAUCGCUAGUAAUCGUGGAUCAGAAUGCCACGGUGAAUACGUUCCCGGGCCUUGUACACACCGCCCGUCACACCAUGGGAGUGGGUUGCAAAAGAAGUAGGUAGCUUAACCUUCGGGAGGGCGCUUACCACUUUGUGAUUCAUGACUGGGGUGAAGUCGUAACAAGGUAACC